GGCGAUGUUUCAUUUCAAAUUUCCUGCCCUUAUCAACUUUCGACGGUAGGGUAGUGGCCUACCGUGGUGGUAACGGGUGACGGAGGAUUAGGGUUCGAUUCCGGAGAGGGAGCCUGAGAAACGGCUACCACAUCCAAGGAAGGCAGCAGGCGCGCAAAUUACCCAAAUCCCAACUCGGGGAGGUAGUGACAAGAAAUAACGAUGCUCCGGCCAUCGGUCGGGUAAUCGGAAUGAGAACAAUUUAAAUCCCUUAUCGAGGAUCAAUUGGAGGGCAAGUCUGGUGCCAGCAGCCGCGGUAAUUCCAGCUCCAAUAGCGUAUAUUUAAGUUGCUGCGGUUAAAAAGCUCGUAGUCGGAUUUCGGGUGGCGCCUACCGGUCCGCCUUUGGUGAGUACUGGUAGGUACCACCUUUCUGCCGAGGACGGGGUACUGGGCUUAGUUGUCUGGGCCUCGGAGUCGGCGAUGUCACUUUGAGUAAAUUAGGGUGUUCAAAGCAGGCUUAUGCUCUGUAUACACUAGCAUGGGAUGACACGAUAGGACUUCGGUUUAUCUUGUCGGUCUGUGGAUCGGAGUAAUGAUUAAGAGGGACAGUCGGGGGCAUUCGUAUUUCGUAGUCAGAGGUGAAAUUCUUGGAUUUACGGAAGACGAACUUCUGCGAAAGCAUUUGCCAAGGAUGUUUUCAUUGAUCAAGAACGAAAGUCGGGGGCUCGAAGACGAUUAGAUACCGUCGUAGUCUCGACCAUAAACGAU
RNAcentral lists this ribosomal RNA (748 nucleotides) under Trentepohliaceae sp. Kukwa 19599. RNAcentral describes it as "SSU rRNA". It matches the Rfam family "Eukaryotic small subunit ribosomal RNA", at positions 286 to 1040 of the family's 1831-position model. The record is from RNAcentral. Lineage: Eukaryota; Viridiplantae; Chlorophyta; Ulvophyceae; Trentepohliales; Trentepohliaceae.